Long non-coding RNA from Perognathus longimembris pacificus (Pacific pocket mouse), 2844 nucleotides. RefSeq lists it as uncharacterized. NCBI's taxonomy places the organism in Eukaryota, Metazoa, Chordata, Mammalia, Rodentia, Heteromyidae. The transcript has 3 exons. The record is from RefSeq and is a predicted model, not a curated record.
UUGUCUUUUAUCCUUUGUCUCUAUUUUGAUAUUCCCCUUCCCUUCCCUAGUUCCAAUACACGUAUAUAUAAUAUCUUUUCUUUGAGCGUGCACCUGGCUCAGCUGACUGUCAGCUGUGUCAUGUUCCUGAUACUGCCCUCUCGUCAUUGUUGGAAGAUGGCUUCUGGAUUUGUGACCUGCCUUUGCGCUUUUCCCAGGAGUGAUAAAUUUGCAAGGACCCACCUCUGCUGACCCAGGGUAUAUACAAGCACCUGGUUGUAUAUAAAACUUCCAUCUAGGUACACCUCUAGCAACCCCACAAGUUAUCUCUCAACAUAGAAAGCCACAAUGAGUCCUCGCAGGAACAGCCACAGAGUAACAUCCCUAUCUCUCACAGCCGCAGAAUAACACCCUUACCUCCCACUUUUGUCCCAUUCAACAGGGGUUUCCUUGGCAUGCACUGUGAACAGCUACCUGGAGAAGACUUAGAGAACCUAAGCUAAGACAAGUGAAAAAUGGCCCUGCCCUCCCCACAGGGGAGUGGAUAAAGCAACUCCAGAGAACCUACAUGCAGAAGUAUUUGACCUUUGUAAUGUUUUAUAAACGUUUGAAUAGUUUCCAUGAGGCAGGGCCUUGAGUUCUCCACUGGUCUCCCAUGCCCUACCCGCUUCUUGUAAGUACUGGAGCUGUAACCUAUGAAAUCUGCCUCAGUCACAGUCUAAACACCUUCCCAGGGCGCCGCAGAGCAGAGGGCUGGCUCUCCUGGAGGCUGGGGUGCAGACACAGAAGUAAACAGGCACGGAGCAUCUAAAGUCAGGGGCCACCCUGGGGGCUCCAGAGCUCAGCAGGCCAGGCAACCAUUCCUCCAAGCUCCCUGCAACUACUUUAAUAAUGCUGGCAUUGAGCCACCUCAUCCUAAGAUUGCACCAAUCUGGCCAGUGUCAGAUUUGUGAACUCCUGUGUCGAGGCUCCUGGUUGGAGGGACCCUAACCAGGGCAUGGGGCUAUUGUAAAAAAGAAAAAGAAUAAUGACCAUCUGCCAUGUACUGGGUAACUACUUUUAUUUUGUUACUUUAUUUUGGUCUUGGAAACUUACGCAAACAAACUUUUAUGCAAACAGAACGUGAAGCCUUUGUCAUUGGUCUGUCAUUUUCUCCAGGCCAGCUUCGCCUGGCCAGGGUGUUCCCCGGCCAUGGGCCUCCUCCUCCUCCUCAUGUAGGUCUGAGUCAGCCAUGAGAUGCAGACAGGACCCCUGCAUUCCCAGUCCUCCAGCUGGUUGAGGGCUGGUUGAGGCAUGCAUCAUUCAUCCAGGGUUACUUGUGCAUCUCUGCAAUGUCUGGUGCAAACUUCCAAGGACAAACACAUCUUUCCUCCACCUGCAAAGGUGAGCUGCCCGAAACUCCUCUUGAAAAGGAAGCACUGACAGGUGUUCAGGCCAGACUCACAUGCCAGAAUUUCAGGAUCAGGCCCACCCUCUAUAUGCCAAACAGAGACAUGGUGAUGGAAGAGAAAGGUUUAUUAUGCAGCAGCCAUGGAAAGAGCAUUUUGGUACUUUUCCAGCCAUAAGUGCUUUUUUGUGGUGUGGCAGCCUUUCUGUAGGCUUGUGGCCUAUGGCAGACCUUGGUGAUUGAUGAAUAUUACGGAAAGUAUGCAGAAAGACCCUUUGUUCAAAAUCUCAUCUUCAAUUGAUUUUUCAGUUGUUGUUAACGUUGAUGCAGGUACCCCCAUUUUGACUUUGACAACUUUCAUGUUUCUCUCACAAUCCCAUUUGAUGGGUUAAAAAAAAAACAGCCACUCUUUUCCAUUUCUAGCAUAUCAUUUGAAAUUAUGUCUAAAUACCUUCUAAUCGUCUAUACUCAUGUGUAUUCUGGAUGUUAAACCCUUGUCAACCUGGCCUUUCUAAACUAUAGAAAAUGAAUGCUGGGAGGUGUCUUAUGGAAAGUGAAGAAGGUUCUCCUUUUACAGUGUGACUUUACCAUUCUGAAACACAAGAGACAAAAUUUAUAUCUUGACCCUAGAACCUGGCUUUCACUCAUGUAACAUUAGCUAAAAUGACUUCAGUAAAGCAGAGGUUGACAAAUGUUGGUAUGCCAUGACCCCCCUCUAUUGUGUCUAGAGCCCUGAGAGCUGGAGGUAGGCUGCUGUGAGCUUGUGUAUAGGAGAGGCUACACCUGAAGAUGCCCAUUCAACAGCACAGGAGAGAACAUCUCUGGCCAGCAUCCUAGUGAGCUGUGUCUGUCUGGAGUUGUGGAGUCCAAAGGAGCCAGUGGCUAGGCCCAACUCAGAUUGUGACCCACAGGAUUAUGAGAAAUGAAGUCAUUGUUUAUGCACUUGCUUUCAGUGUAGUGUAUUUGUAGCAAUGGAUAACUGAUAGCAUGGUGAACUAACACAUUCCAGUAGACUACUAUUCAUGUGAACAUCUUAAUGUUCUCACAGACCCCACGGUCUGUUGUGAUUUCAUUAGCUGUAGAGUUUUGUUCUCUCUUGCUUUUAAAUAGCUGGCUUCCUAGAUUGAAUGGAGCAUAUAGAGUUUUGGAAAUAUGAGGCUAAAGUAGUAAAGAGGUCCCCAUAAUGUGGGACUUCUCAGUGACUUCAGAGAGUUAAUGUUGGAUGUAAAUCUCUGAAACAGAUGGGACAAGUAGAUAAUGAGUCAUAUGUCUCUCACACACAUUACGUAUUCAUUCACAAACUGUAUAAAAGCAGCAACAAGUAAUGAAGUAAAUUUAAAUUCUGUAAGCCACGUGUCUCCCUGUUCUCUGACUCCCCAGAAUGCCCAGCUCAGGGCCUUGGGACCUGACUUCUGUUCAGCCAUACUGGUUUCCUAACUUGCUUAAAAUAUUGAAGAAUGUAUUCUCAAAAUAGUGCA